This 99-nucleotide ribosomal RNA is filed under the name uncultured bacterium. RNAcentral describes it as "partial 16S ribosomal RNA". The record is from RNAcentral.
ACGGCCCUACGGGUUGUAAACUGCUUUAUACGGGAAUAAACCUCAUUACGUGUAAUGAGUUGAAUGUACUGUAAGAAUAAGGAUCGGCUAACUCCGUGC